This 465-nucleotide ribosomal RNA is filed under the name uncultured bacterium. RNAcentral's name for it is "partial 16S ribosomal RNA". It matches the Rfam family "Bacterial small subunit ribosomal RNA", at positions 338 to 795 of the family's 1533-position model. The record is from RNAcentral.
CCUACGGGUGGCAGCAGUGGGGAAUUUUGGACAAUGGGCGCAAGCCUGAUCCAGCUAUUCCGCGUGUGGGAAGACGGCCUUCGGGUUGUAAACCACUUUUGUAGAGAACGAAAAGUCUAUUGAUAAUACCGAUAGAUGAUGACGGUACUCUAAGAAGAAGCACCGGCUAACUACGUGCCAGCAGCCGCGGUAAUACGUAGGGUGCGAGCGUUAAUCGGAAUUACUGGGCGUAAAGGGUGUGCAGGCGGUUUUGCAAGAUGGAUGUGAAAGCCCCGGGCUUAACCUGGGAAAGCCAUACAUGACUGCAAGACUAGAGUGCGUCAGAGGGAGGUGGAAUUCCAGGUGUAGCAGUGAAAUGCGUAGAUAUUUGGAAGAACACCGAUGGCGAAGGCAGCCCCCUGGGACGCAACUGACGCUCAUACACGAAAGCGUGGGGAGCAAACAGGAUUAGAUACCCCGGUAGUC